GAUGAACGCUGGCGGCGUGCCUAAUACAUGCAAGUCGAGCGAACGGACGAGAAGCUUGCUUCUCUGAUGUUAGCGGCGGACGGGUGAGUAACACGUGGAUAACCUACCUAUAAGACUGGGAUAACUUCGGGAAACCGGAGCUAAUACCGGAUAAUAUUUUGAACCGCAUGGUUCAAAAGUGAAAGACGGCCUUGCUGUCACUUAUAGAUGGAUCCGCGCUGCAUUAGCUAGUUGGUAAGGCAACGGCUUACCAAGGCAACGAUGCAUAGCCGACCUGAGAGGGUGAUCGGCCACACUGGAACUGAGACACGGUCCAGACUCCUACGGGAGGCAGCAGUAGGGAAUCUUCCGCAAUGGGCGAAAGCCUGACGGAGCAACGCCGCGUGAGUGAUGAAGGUCUUCGGAUCGUAAAACUCUGUUAUUAGGGAAGAACAUAUGUGUAAGUAACUGUGCACAUCUUGACGGUACCUAAUCAGAAAGCCACGGCUAACUACGUGCCAGCAGCCGCGGUAAUACGUAGGUGGCAAGCGUUAUCCGGAAUUAUUGGGCGUAAAGCGCGCGUAGGCGGUUUUUUAAGUCUGAUGUGAAAGCCCACGGCUCAACCGUGGAGGGUCAUUGGAAACUGGAAAACUUGAGUGCAGAAGAGGAAAGUGGAAUUCCAUGUGUAGCGGUGAAAUGCGCAGAGAUAUGGAGGAACACCAGUGGCGAAGGCGACUUUCUGGUCUGUAACUGACGCUGAUGUGCGAAAGCGUGGGGAUCAAACAGGAUUAGAUACCCUGGUAGUCCACGCCGUAAACGAUGAGUGCUAAGUGUUAGGGGGUUUCCGCCCCUUAGUGCUGCAGCUAACGCAUUAAGCACUCCGCCUGGGGAGUACGACCGCAAGGUUGAAACUCAAAGGAAUUGACGGGGACCCGCACAAGCGGUGGAGCAUGUGGUUUAAUUCGAAGCAACGCGAAGAACCUUACCAAAUCUUGACAUCCUUUGACAACUCUAGAGAUAGAGCUUUCCCCUUCGGGGGACAAAGUGACAGGUGGUGCAUGGUUGUCGUCAGCUCGUGUCGUGAGAUGUUGGGUUAAGUCCCGCAACGAGCGCAACCCUUAAGCUUAGUUGCCAUCAUUAAGUUGGGCACUCUAAGUUGACUGCCGGUGACAAACCGGAGGAAGGUGGGGAUGACGUCAAAUCAUCAUGCCCCUUAUGAUUUGGGCUACACACGUGCUACAAUGGACAAUACAAAGGGCAGCGAAACCGCGAGGUCAAGCAAAUCCCAUAAAGUUGUUCUCAGUUCGGAUCGUAGUCUGCAACUCGACUACAUGAAGCUGGAAUCGCUAGUAAUCGUAGAUCAGCAUGCUACGGUGAAUACGUUCCCGGGUCU
Molecule: ribosomal RNA, 1372 nt
Filed under: uncultured bacterium
Lineage: Bacteria
Description: bacterial SSU rRNA
Rfam family: Bacterial small subunit ribosomal RNA
Source: RNAcentral